GCAGCACCCACUGUCUACCCAGUCCCAGUGAGAUGAGCCAGGUACCUUAGUUGGAAAUGCAGAAAUCACCCGCCUUCUGCGUUGAUCUCACUGGGAGCUGCAGACCAGAAAUUUAAAUCACUUUAGGUCACUUCUGAUUGAACAGAUUUGGUCAGUUUUCUUGCAGAGGCUGACAUUUGAAUGGGAACUUGGAAAACAGAUCUAAUGUCAAGUGAAUUUGAGACUCUAAAAUGCAACAAAUGGGCCAUAAAAAGUGGGGAAAACAGACAGAAACCAGGAAAGGAAACCCACGCCGUCCCAUUCCCUUAGGUACCAUGGAACCUUUAUGUAAGGAGAGGUGACAGGGUAAAAUGAGAAUGUAUGGAAAAAGUGCAAAUGAAUAAAAAUGCAAGAGAUGAGUUAAAAUGUUAUAUUGCUAUAGUAAUAUAUUUGCAUUAAAAACAAUUUAACCUCUGUGACAACAAGAAAGCUAAGUCUGAAUUAGUGUUUCCUGAAGUAUAUUCUUAAGAACAAUAAUUAUGCAGGAUAUCAAAUAAAAUUACAUGAAAAAAUUUAAGUGAUCAAAUAAUAUUCAGGAAAUUGGGUUAAAUAAGACCUCUUGAAGCCUUUAAUACUCUACCUUAGAGUGUGAAUAUCCAUAAAUGAGGCUCUAAUAUGCAACCGUUUCCAAACAUAUCUUAUCACAUUAUUAUUUUUCAAUGAAGCAUUUUACAGGAGUAAAGUUGAUCUAUAUUUAUUAGAGGUAUCUCGGUAACCACAGUAAGGAUGAAGCAGCUCAACCAUCUAAGGUGAGGUGGAAUGGAUUUCUUAAGGUGAGAAAGCAGAGCCAGAAGCUGAAGGCUGGAACUGCCCAGUGCAACUGUCCUUGAAGAAGAGGAGCGUUAGAAUGGCCCAUCCCACAGCCUCGGCAAACAUGUACACCAGAAGCAUGGAGCUGCUUCUCUGAAGUUUCUUAAGAUUUGCUGGUGCCCCUCAGUUUCAGAAAAAGUUAUCUACAAAUUCUCUUUAAAACUUGCAUAUCUCAUGUGGUUUAAUUCUUAUUAAAAUGCCUACUUCUAUUUAAACACACAAUAUGGGCACAUCGUACACACACACACACACACAAACACACACGAACAUGCACACUACUUUCACCUCCCGAAAAGGAGUCAUACUUUCGGGUGGUAUCCACAAAGGAGCUCGUUUUGUUCCUGUUGCUGAUCUCAUGGAUUUGCGAGCCAACAUUCCUGUGAGGUGCUGGCUUUCAGCUAUAUUCACCAGGGGCUGCAUAGGAGGAUCAACAUGAGGCACCUCUUUUUGACUGGCUUUUCUUCAGGCACUAAAGUCAUAACCAUCAUUUAUUGAAACUUACACUGUAUAAAGCAUUUCUGCAUUGUCUCUUCCCCUUAAAACGACCCUAUGAAGUAGUGAUUAUUCUCUGCAUCUUACAAUCGAGGAAACUGAAUUGGGAAGUUUAAACAGCUUGCCAAGAUUACACAGUUGUCUUCUAAUAUGCCUGUACUUUAAUAGAAGUUGAAGAAGGAAAGUAUCGAUAGCUUCAAGAGGACAAUAAAAAGGAACAGUUACUCCUGAUAAUGUAUUAAUUUGUAGGUAUCUAAGAAGUUCAAGGUGGCAACGAUUUUUCUCUCUCUCUCCUUCUGUCUCUGGACUUGAUAAAAAUCCUUCUAAAUUCUCUAUUCUAUUCAAUAGCCAAUUUUACCAAUCUCCUAUAAAAAUGAUCAAAUCCAAUAUGUGUGUAUUAGAAUGAAUACAUAAAAAACUUUUAUAAUUUUUUCAAAAUCUCGCACUCAUAAGUUGGUAAGUCAACCACGGAAAAAAACCUCAAAUAUAAAAUUAAUGCAUUUAAUGGUGUUUACGUUUUUAUUACCCUGUAAUUAUAUCUUUCCUGUGAUUGUUUUCCUUUUCAUGCUGGCCUAUAAAAUGUGGCUGCCUCAACCUGUUUUAAACAUCUACAUUUGUAGGAUUAGGACUAGUGAUGUUUUGCCAGUUUCCAUGAAAGAAGCCAGAUGCACUGAAGCAACCUCCUUUGAUAGUUAAAGUCCUUCAUUAAUUUGACACCUGGCACUCCCAGCUAUGGUCUUAUUCAUUUUUGGUAGAAUCGUUCUGGUCCACAGAUAAGAGCAUAUUCUCUGUCAUGAUAAAUGAAUUAUGAAAUUCCCUAUUGUAGCGAUUUUUAUACUCUGCUGUUAUAACUUACAUUAGCUAUCCUCUUACUGUAAAUAUUGAUUCAUUGCAAAGUGAAGACUGUUUAUAUUUAGGGUUGCCUAGUUUAAGAAAAUUUUCCAUAUCAUCUUUUCCCUUGCUAUAAAAUUCUUCAUUCCAAAGGCACUUUUAAUUUGGCCUCAUUUAUUUUGUAGUAUUUCAAAUGCUGCCAAAAUUUGCAUAAGUGCAUGGAGACAAAAUUAAGUCCAGAUUUUCCAAGAUGGAUAAAUUUGUGGGUGGUUAUUUUUUCUUCUCCACAGAAGGGUUGAUUGCAAAAUUCCAGUAAAUGACAAGUUUUCAACAUAAUCAGUUUUCUAGAACUCCAUAUUCUAGCAAAUUUUCAGAAAUUAAUCUCUUACAUUAAGUGAGUUACCCUAUGUAUGCAUGUAAGUAAAAAAAAUCCUACUUUUAAAAGUUUGGAUUUGUAUCUGGAAACUAAAAAAGCUAUUAAUUUUGCCAUACACUUAUGUUAUCAAUUAAAAUACUUUUGCAAUAAAUAAAUAUCUAAUAGUUUAUAUAUAUGAUAUAAAUAUAUACUUUAUACGUAAGAAAUAUAUAUAUUUCCUUCUGGCAUGAACCCAAUAGUACUCAAUAUUUUAACAUUUGUUGGGAAAUCCCUAGUAAACCACCAGGUUUUUACUUAAAUUAACAAAUGAUCAGCCUUUACCCCAGAAUUUUUUUAAAGAAUACAAAAUAUUAAAUUGCUAAUAGGUAUUUCCUGUUUAAGUUGGCCUCUAUCUUUAUCUGUUCUGCUUUGGAGAGGUUCCAUACCACUCUGGCUUGGACCAUGUAAUCCAGUACUUGCCAGUCAAAGCAGCAUUGUGUAAGAGCAUCCCAUGGCUCUUCCUUGACCUACAUCUCACCAGCUUUCAUACUUUCCCCUUUCUUCCUCCCCUACCUGCAGCACCUGAAGGGCAUAAGGGUAGUUCCAUGACUACCACUUUAAUUCUGUAAUAAAAUGUUGCUAGAGGAAAAGAGGUCAUGGGCUAAGUGUGGAGAUGAAUGCUACUUUGUAAACUGCUUUGUUAUCCACUAUUUCCACACUUGGUCUUUAUUUUUUUUAUUAUUUUAUUUUAUUCUAUUAUUACUAUACUUUAAGUUUUACAGUACAUGUGCACAAUGUGCAGGUUUGUUACAUAUGUAUACAUUGCCAUGUUGCUGUGCUGCACCCAUUAACUCGUCAUUUAGCAUUAGGUAUAUCUCCUAAUGCUAUCCCUCUCCCCUCCCCCUACCCCACAACAGGCCCCGGUGUGUGAUG
This 3460-nucleotide long non-coding RNA is filed under the name Homo sapiens (human). Its description in RNAcentral is "HSALNT0147365". Lineage: Eukaryota; Metazoa; Chordata; Mammalia; Primates; Hominidae. The record is from RNAcentral.